Wasmannia auropunctata (little fire ant) is the source of this 751-nucleotide long non-coding RNA. RefSeq lists it as uncharacterized. The record is from RefSeq and is a predicted model, not a curated record. The transcript is spliced from 2 exons. Lineage: Eukaryota; Metazoa; Arthropoda; Insecta; Hymenoptera; Formicidae.
GGCGAUUAUACCUCGCUGCAUAGCUAAUUCAGAAAUCGAUAAUUACGUACGCGGCCUCCCGAAACGUACCAAAUUAAUAUGGCCAUUACGAACAAAUGGUUAAAUUGAUGGAUCGCUACAACAAUAAUUUGAUUUCUCCCGUGAAAUUCCCACGCUACUGAAGCCGUGCCAUGGCAAGAAUUUGCGCGAAGCUUUGUCAAAAGCUUUGAUCCGCAUUCAGGUUUGCCGGAGCCGAUUAAUAGAGUCGGUUUGAUCAACCGACAAGCCAAUGUACGUGUCUAGCUGGAUGCGGAAGGAUUAAGGCGUUUGCUACGGAAACACUGGAUCGGCAGCUUGGUGGUUAAUUGAGAAUCUCGAGAUAUUGACCGACGCGGGAUCGAUAGGCGAACGAUAUUCACGAAGACAAAGGGGCGGGCCGGACAUAUGCUGAAGUGGUCAUUUGUCUGCGAUUUACGUGAAGAUUGACGGUAACCCCGCUCGUUACUCGCUUGAUCCCCAAGUUUAACGCCACUAUCGGAGCUUAUUGCGUCACAAGGUAGAAUUUCAGCGAGACUUACACUUCAAUCUUCAGAUGGAUGCACAAAAUCCUGAAACGUAAAGUUGAAAAUGAGGGAGCAGCACUUUAAAGCACGGAAAACCUGUAUUUUCCUCAUUGAAAUUUUAAUUUUCAUAAAUUUUUCAAGGAAUAUAUCCUCGAUUGUCCUAAAAAUGUAGAAUUUUGAGAGUGAAAAAUAAACCAUUGAGAGAGAAA